UGCAAUUGCACGUCCAGUGCUCCACGCUCUUUCUUGAUUUCUUCUAUGGACUUCCAAGGAAAGAACAUCUCGAGAGAACAACUUCCACUGGACUUUUCCAGAUUUGCAAGUGUAGCCAGAAGUCUUCAGAGUGAAGGAAAAUGUGUAAUGGAAUACAACCUCAGCAGUGCCAUCCUCUAUUACAAAAAGGAAGUUUAACAUAUUAUCAAGAACCUGGAACAAAACGUUAAAAACAGGAAGUGUUUAAUGGAGAAAGAAAAUUUGGGAAUUUGUCAGGCAAAUGUGGCCCAGCUUUAGUUUCCACCACUACAGUUCCAUGAAUUCAAAGUUCAGUUCUCUAUUCUGGCACAACUGCAUUGUUGUUAAGGUACCAUCCCCCCAUCUUAUUCUCAGAGUUACUUUUCUUGGCAUUGACUCCCUUCAGACCACCGAUAUGGCAAAAAGAAAGCUGUUUGUCUUGCUCCAUCAUUAAAGUCAAGAAUAACCACUUUA
Pantherophis guttatus is the source of this 492-nucleotide non-coding RNA. NCBI's taxonomy places the organism in Eukaryota, Metazoa, Chordata, Lepidosauria, Squamata, Colubridae. The record is from RefSeq and is a predicted model, not a curated record.